This 429-nucleotide ribosomal RNA is filed under the name Chloroflexota bacterium. RNAcentral's name for it is "Chloroflexi bacterium partial 16S ribosomal RNA". It matches the Rfam family "Bacterial small subunit ribosomal RNA", at positions 355 to 776 of the family's 1533-position model. The record is from RNAcentral. Lineage: Bacteria; Bacillati; Chloroflexota.
UGGGGAAUAUUGCACAAUGGGCGCAAGCCUGAUGCAGCCAUGCCGCGUGUAUGAAGAAGGCCUUCGGGUUGUAAAGUACUUUCAGCGGGGAGGAAGGGAGUAAAGUUAAUACCUUUGCUCAUUGACGUUACCCGCAGAAGAAGCACCGGCUAACUCCGUGCCAGCAGCCGCGGUAAUACGGAGGGUGCAAGCGUUAAUCGGAAUUACUGGGCGUAAAGCGCACGCAGGCGGUUUGUUAAGUCAGAUGUGAAAUCCCCGGGCUCAACCUGGGAACUGCAUUCGAAACUGGCAGGCUAGAGUCUUGUAGAGGGGGGUAGAAUUCCAGGUGUAGCGGUGAAAUGCGUAGAGAUCUGGAGGAAUACCGAUGGCGAAGGCGGCCCCCUGGACAAAGACUGACGCUCAGGUGCGAAAGCGUGGGGAGCAAACAGG